UUGAUGGAUUCAUCAAGUACUCCGACGUAUGGAUACAGAGUUGAGAUGGUCCAUCGGGGGCCCCGGCGCGGAGGCCGGGUCGCCCCCGAGGCAACAAGUGUUGGUCAACAGAGGGUUGGAGGUCGGGCCAGGGGCCCUCACUCGGUAAUGAUCCCUCCGCAGGUUCACCUACGGAGA
Molecule: unclassified non-coding RNA, 177 nt
Filed under: uncultured fungus
Lineage: Eukaryota; Fungi
Description: sequence contains ITS1
Source: RNAcentral